Molecule: ribosomal RNA, 204 nt
Filed under: uncultured Allobrachymonas sp.
Lineage: Bacteria; Pseudomonadati; Pseudomonadota; Betaproteobacteria; Burkholderiales; Comamonadaceae
Description: uncultured Brachymonas sp. partial 16S ribosomal RNA
Rfam family: Bacterial small subunit ribosomal RNA
Source: RNAcentral
AUGACGUCAAGUCCUCAUGGCCCUUAUAGGUGGGGCUACACACGUCAUACAAUGGCCGGUACAGAGGGUAGCCAACCCGCGAGGGGGAGCCAAUCCCACAAAGCCGGUCGUAGUCCGGAUCGCAGUCUGCAACUCGACUGCGUGAAGUCGGAAUCGCUAGUAAUCGCGGAUCAGCAUGUCGCGGUGAAUACGUUCCCGGGUCUU